RNAcentral lists this ribosomal RNA (490 nucleotides) under uncultured bacterium. RNAcentral's name for it is "partial 16S ribosomal RNA". It matches the Rfam family "Bacterial small subunit ribosomal RNA", at positions 30 to 507 of the family's 1533-position model. The record is from RNAcentral.
AUUGAACGCUGGCGGCAGGCCUAACACAUGCAAGUCGAACGGUAACAGGAAACAGCUUGCUGUUUCGCUGACGAGUGGCGGACGGGUGAGUAAUGUCUGGGAAACUGCCUGAUGGAGGGGGAUAACUACUGGAAACGGUAGCUAAUACCGCAUAACGUCGCAAGACCAAAGUGGGGGACCUUCGGGCCUCUUGCCAUCGGAUGUGCCCAGAUGGGAUUAGCUAGUAGGUGGGGUAACGGCUCACCUAGGCGACGAUCCCUAGCUGGUCUGAGAGGAUGACCAGCCACACUGGAACUGAGACACGGUCCAGACUCCUACGGGAGGCAGCAGUGGGGAAUAUUGCACAAUGGGCGCAAGCCUGAUGCAGCCAUGCCGCGUGUAUGAAGAAGGCCUUCGGGUUGUAAAGUACUUUCAGCGGGGAGGAAGGGAGUAAAGUUAAUACCUUUACUCAUUGACGUUACCCGCAGAAGAAGCACCGGCUAACUCCGUG